GGUCUUUAACCCUCAGUUCAUGUAGAGUUCCAGGUUCCUUUGUUCAGAUGCAGAACUGUUUGGGAUGUUCUUUAACUUCUAUCUGCCCGAAACCGUCAGAUUUGUUUACCUGCUUCGACACUUGGUGCAUCCAUGGAGUUUCGUCUUUGUGUGGAAAUUACUCAGCCUCGGACCAAGUUCACGUCUCAUCUUUCAAGUUGACUGAUGAGUUGGUGAGGACUGUCUAUGUCUGCUGUAUUCCUCAGAGCAUCAUCUGACGUGUCCUUGAGGAAGACGUGGUUGAAACAUGUCAGGAAGG
Amphiprion ocellaris (clown anemonefish) is the source of this 298-nucleotide long non-coding RNA. RefSeq lists it as uncharacterized. The transcript has 3 exons. Lineage: Eukaryota; Metazoa; Chordata; Actinopteri; Pomacentridae. The record is from RefSeq and is a predicted model, not a curated record.